CCAGACUCCUACGGGAGGCAGCAGUGGGGGAUAUUGCACAAUGGGGGAAACCCUGAUGCAGCGACGCCGCGUGGGCGAAGAAGUAUUUCGGUAUGUAAAGCCCUAUCAGCAGGGAAGAAGAAAUGACGGUACCUGACUAAGAAGCCCCGGCUAACUACGUGCCAGCAGCCGCGGUAAUACGUAGGGGGCAAGCGUUAUCCGGAUUUACUGGGUGUAAAGGGAGCGUAGACGGCUAUGCAAGUCUGGAGUGAAAGGCGGGGGCCCAACCCCCGGACUGCUCUGGAAACUGUAGAGCUAGAGUGCAGGAGAGGUAAGUGGAAUUCCUAGUGUAGCGGUGAAAUGCGUAGAUAUCAGGAGGAACACCGGCGGCGAAGGCGGCCUGCUGGACCGCUACUGACGUUGAGGCUCGAAAGCGUGGGGAGCGAACAGGAUUAGAUACCCGCGUAC
Molecule: ribosomal RNA, 447 nt
Filed under: uncultured bacterium
Lineage: Bacteria
Description: bacterial SSU rRNA
Rfam family: Bacterial small subunit ribosomal RNA
Source: RNAcentral